Molecule: long non-coding RNA, 687 nt
Organism: Patella vulgata (common limpet)
Lineage: Eukaryota; Metazoa; Mollusca; Gastropoda; Patellidae
Exons: 3
Source: RefSeq, a predicted model, not a curated record
AGCCGUAGAAACAGAUCAUGUGCCCAAAACCACCUGCACAUUUAUCUGUGAAUCCUCUAAAUUCUCAUUCCACUGAUGAAAUUUUUGAAAGGCCUAAGAUUGGAGUUUUACAAAUUGAACCAUAUUGUUAUUAUUACUAAAAUUUAAAGAUGCAUUUGCGCUUUUGGCAAUUGGGGUGGGGUGUUCAAACUAGAUUGCAUGCAAAAUUUUGGACUGAUUUAUUAAGCCAUUUCUGAAACAUUGAUGUUUAACGAAUCACUAUAGAAGUUUUCAUGGAACACUGCAAAUGGCUGUGCAAAUUGCUGGCAUCUUUAAAAAUUAGGUAUUGCCAGGCAACAACUAUAUGUAUCUAUAUGGUCUUUAAGGCAGCAUAAAUUCAACGGUUGGGUAAAGGUUACUGGAAGGAAGAUUAAUAACAUUGGACAUAGAUUUUGGAUGACAGUUAUAUAAAGGUAAGCAGCUGAGCGAUUGGUAAAGAGGAUGUGAUUGGCUGGAUCAAGAGCAAUGGCAUCUGAAUAUAACUGUAUGGCUUGCAGAAAAUCUCCAUUAUUAAUGGCCUCAUUGCUUUCUCUGACUUUCUGUAAGAAGAGUGCUUUAUUGGCAUCACUUGUACUUGUACUUGGUCCUGCUUCUUGAGAUACAGCCUGACAAAUAUACCAAAACACAAUUAUACGUAAAUGACUUAGG